AAGAGAGGUCUAGGACAAAGAGAACUGCUAAUUCUCUCACUCAUGGUUCAAAUCCAUGGCUCACUUG
RNAcentral lists this transfer RNA (67 nucleotides) under Pristis pectinata (smalltooth sawfish). RNAcentral describes it as "tRNA-Ser". Lineage: Eukaryota; Metazoa; Chordata; Chondrichthyes; Rhinopristiformes; Pristidae. The record is from RNAcentral.